UGGGGGAUAUUGCACAAUGGGGGGAACCCUGAUGCAGCGACGCCGCGUGGGUGAAGAAGCGCCUCGGCGCGUAAAGCCCUGUCAGCAGGGAAGAAAAUGACGGUACCUGAAGAAGAAGCCCCGGCUAACUACGUGCCAGCAGCCGNGGUAAUCUCGAUCU
Molecule: ribosomal RNA, 160 nt
Filed under: uncultured bacterium
Lineage: Bacteria
Description: partial 16S ribosomal RNA
Rfam family: Bacterial small subunit ribosomal RNA
Source: RNAcentral